This 831-nucleotide ribosomal RNA is filed under the name Triticum aestivum (bread wheat). RNAcentral describes it as "partial small subunit ribosomal RNA". The record is from RNAcentral. Lineage: Eukaryota; Viridiplantae; Streptophyta; Magnoliopsida; Poales; Poaceae.
AUGCCGCAGGUCGACCUGGAGAGCCUGGUGUGCGGCGGCGCGGGCGCGGGAGCCGGGGACAGGAAGGUGUCGUGCGAGACGGUCAUCGCGGGCAGUGACAGCGGGGACGCCUCGCCGCCGAGGCGGAUGCCGCCGCCAGUGCCGAACCACGACUUCCCGCCGGAGUCGAUAACCAUCCGCAUCGGCGACGACGCGGCCUUCUCGGAGCUGAACCCGAUAUACGAGCGGGACGACUCCACCAAGGGCAGCACCAACCCCAAGUCGGCGGCGGCGGGCGGCGCCUGCAACCCCGUCCCGCUCAAGGCGCGCUCCAACUCCACGCGCAUCGCGGGGGCACCGGCCGCGGGGACCGCCACCUUCUUUGGCCUCCCGGCCAGGAUCCGGCCGGCCUUCACCCGGCGCCAGCCGUCGCAGGGCCGGAUCUUGCCCGACAAGCGCUCUGGCGGCACCGGCGAGGAGCCGCGGUCGCCCAAGGUGUCCUGCAUUGGGAAGGUGCUGUCCGACCGGGAGAGGUGCGGGCGGCGCCGCCAGCGCAGAUGGUGGCGCGGGGUGGCGGCCGUGUUCCGGUGCGGCGGCGGCUGCGCCUCCCGAGGAGUCGGCGGUGGCGCCGGCAAGAAGAUGGCGCUGGAGGAGAGCGAAUAUGACGAGGAGGAAAAGGAGGCGAGCGUCGCGGCAAUGCGGAAGUUCAAGUCCGGGAGGAGAGCCGCCGCGUGGGGAGAGGAGGCGCUGGCAGCGGCGGCGGCGGAGGCCUUCUCCGGCGAGCCGGCGGAGGAUGAGAAGAAGCACGAGAACCACGAGACCGAGCACUGGGCCCGAGUACCGGUAAGUUAG